RNAcentral lists this transfer RNA (71 nucleotides) under Marmota monax (woodchuck). RNAcentral's name for it is "tRNA.Ala". The stretch from base 6 to 66 matches the Rfam family "tRNA", at positions 6 to 65 of the family's 71-position model. From Rfam's summary of the family: Transfer RNA (tRNA) molecules are approximately 80 nucleotides in length. Their secondary structure includes four short double-helical elements and three loops (D, anti-codon, and T loops). Further hydrogen bonds mediate the characteristic L-shaped molecular structure. tRNAs have two regions of fundamental functional importance: the anti-codon, which is responsible for specific mRNA codon recognition, and the 3' end, to which the tRNAs corresponding amino acid is attached (by aminoacyl-tRNA synthetases). tRNAs cope with the degeneracy of the genetic code in two manners: having more than one tRNA (with a specific anti-codon) for a particular amino acid; and 'wobble' base-pairing, i.e. permitting non-standard base-pairing at the 3rd anti-codon position. The record is from RNAcentral. Lineage: Eukaryota; Metazoa; Chordata; Mammalia; Rodentia; Sciuridae.
GGAGUUGUGGCUCAGUGGGAGAGCACUUGCCUGGCAUGUAUGAGGCCCUGGGUUUGAUCCUCAGCACUGCA